GUGGGGAAUAUUGGACAAUGGGGGGAACCCUGAUCCAGCCAUGUCGCGUGUGUGAAGAAGGCCUUUUGGUUGUAAAGCACUUUAAGCGAGGAGGAGGCUACCGAGAUUAAUACUCUUGGAUAGUGGACGUUACUCGCAGAAUAAGCACCGGCUAACUCUGUGCCAGCAGCCGCGGUAAUACAGAGGGUGCAAGCGUUAAUCGGAUUUACUGGGCGUAAAGCGCGCGUAGGUGGCCAAUUAAGUCAAAUGUGAAAUCCCCGAGCUUAACUUGGGAAUUGCAUUCGAUACUGGUUGGCUAGAGUAUGGGAGAGGAUGGUAGAAUUCCAGGUGUAGCGGUGAAAUGCGUAGAGAUCUGGAGGAAUACCGAUGGCGAAGGCAGCCAUCUGGCCUAAUACUGACACUGAGGUGCGAAAGCAUGGGGAGCAAACAGGAUUAGAAACCCCAGUAGUCC
RNAcentral lists this ribosomal RNA (451 nucleotides) under uncultured bacterium. Its description in RNAcentral is "partial 16S ribosomal RNA". It matches the Rfam family "Bacterial small subunit ribosomal RNA", at positions 354 to 796 of the family's 1533-position model. The record is from RNAcentral.